UUACAAAACCUUUCACUCCUGAAACUAGCAUGCGAAACUAUAAGAAAUGUGCUAGCGCUAUACACCCGUGAUUCAUAUAUAUACCAAUUUUCAACCACUGUCUUACUUCAACAAAUAUUCAUCUAUGUUUUGUAAUUUGUUUUAAAAUUUGCAUAGCCUGCAAACACCGAAUUUAUUAAUAUGCAUUUUUCGGGUUCUAUACUGUCUGGUUGCAUAUAAAAGCAACUCUAGAUUAACUUCAGUGUUUUUGUUUUGGUACAUUUCUUUUUAUCGCACAUGAUAUUUAGCACAUUUCUUGUUAAAAUGAAGUGGAUUCAGCGCCAAUAUUUCGUUGCCCACUACAGAAAGGACAGGCAAAAAAACUAGAGACUAUAUAUACAUCCAACUUAUUCUUACUAGAUAUACUAUGCAUAUGUCUUUUACCAGUCAAUUGAAAAGUAUACAAGAAAAUUUAUUCAUUUGUUAGUAAAGAAAGGAAUGAAAACCAAAAAUACAUAUUUAUUACUUUCGACAGCACUGUACCCAAGCCAAACAAACAACAGGGCGAACAACCAAAGGCUC
Molecule: non-coding RNA, 561 nt
Organism: Schizosaccharomyces pombe (fission yeast)
Lineage: Eukaryota; Fungi; Ascomycota; Schizosaccharomycetes; Schizosaccharomycetales; Schizosaccharomycetaceae
Source: the annotation of a GenBank genome assembly